GACGGAACGGCUGGGCGGCGUGCCUAACCACGAUCGCGAAGUCGAACGAAGCUUGACUACGGACUCCUUCGGACGAAGUAAGAGUAUGACUAGAGUGGCGGACGGGUGAGUAACGCGUGAGUAACCUGCCUUUCAGAGGGGAAUAGCGUUUGGAAACGAACGGUAAUACCGCAUAACGUAUGAGUGCCGCAUGACACACAUACCAAAGAUUUUAUCGCUGAAAGAUGGACUCGCGUUGGAUUAGAUAGUUGGUGAGGUAACGGCUCACCAAGUCGACGAUCCAUAGCCGGACUGAGAGGUUGAUCGGCCACAUUGGGACUGAGACACGGCCCAA
RNAcentral lists this ribosomal RNA (334 nucleotides) under uncultured bacterium. Its description in RNAcentral is "bacterial SSU rRNA". The stretch from base 39 to 334 matches the Rfam family "Bacterial small subunit ribosomal RNA", at positions 59 to 334 of the family's 1533-position model. The record is from RNAcentral.